GAUGAACGCUGGCGGCGUGCCUAAUACAUGCAAGUCGAGCGAACAGACGAGGAGCUUGCUCCUCUGACGUUAGCGGCGGACGGGUGAGUAACACGUGGAUAACCUACCUAUAAGACUGGGAUAACUUCGGGAAACCGGAGCUAAUACCGGAUAAUAUAUUGAACCGCAUGGUUCAAUAGUGAAAGACGGUUUUGCUGUCACUUAUAGAUGGAUCCGCGCCGCAUUAGCUAGUUGGUAAGGUAACGGCUUACCAAGGCAACGAUGCGUAGCCGACCUGAGAGGGUGAGCGGCCGCACUGGAACUGAGACACGGUCCAGACUCCUACGGGAGGCAGCAGUAGGGAAUCUUCCGCAAUGGGCGAAAGCCUGACGGAGCAACGCCGCGUGAGUGAUGAAGGUCUUCGGAUCGUAAAACUCUGUUAUUAGGGAAGAACAAAUGUGUAAGUAACUAUGCACGUCUUGACGGUACCUAAUCAGAAAGCCACGGCUAACUACGUG
RNAcentral lists this ribosomal RNA (497 nucleotides) under uncultured bacterium. Its description in RNAcentral is "partial 16S ribosomal RNA". It matches the Rfam family "Bacterial small subunit ribosomal RNA", at positions 28 to 507 of the family's 1533-position model. The record is from RNAcentral.